GACGAACGCUGGCGGCGUGCCUAAUACAUGCAAGUCGAACGAGAGCGACCGGUGCUUGCACUGGUCAAUCUAGUGGCGAACGGGUGAGUAACACGUGGGUAACCUGCCUACCAGAGGGGGAUAACAUCCGGAAACGGAUGCUAAAACCGCAUAGGUCUUCGCGCCGCAUGGCUUGAAGAGGAAAAGAGGCGGAUGCUUCUGCUGAUGGCUGGCACCGCGGUGCAUGAGCUCGUUUGUGAGGUAAUGGCCCACCAAAGCCGGGAUGCAUAGCCGACCCGAGAGGGUGGUUGCCCACAUGGGGAGUGAGACAGAGCAGACACUCUUGCGGGAGGAAGCAGUACGGAAUCUUACGCGAGGGAGGAGAGGGGGACAGUGCAACGCGGCGGGAGGGAAGAAGGAUUUCUGAUCGUAGAGCUAUGAUGUUAGUGGAGAACAAGUGCUAGAGUAACCGUUAGCACCAUGACGGUAUCUAGCCAAAAAGCCACGGCUAACUACGUG
RNAcentral lists this ribosomal RNA (498 nucleotides) under uncultured bacterium. RNAcentral's name for it is "partial 16S ribosomal RNA". It matches the Rfam family "Bacterial small subunit ribosomal RNA", at positions 28 to 507 of the family's 1533-position model. The record is from RNAcentral.